CCUACGGGAGGCAGCAGUGAGGAAUAUUGGACAAUGGGCGCAAGCCUGAUCCAGCCAUGCCGCGUGCAGGAAGACGCAUCUAUGGUGUGUAAACUGCUUUUGUACGGGAAGAAACACUCCUUCGUGAAGGAGCUUGACGGUACCGUAAGAAUAAGGAUCGGCUAACUCCGUGCCAGCAGCCGCGGUAAUACGGAGGAUCCAAGCGUUAUCCGGAAUCAUUGGGUUUAAAGGGUCCGUAGGCGGUUUAAUAAGUCAGUGGUGAAAUCUGGUCGCUCAACGAUCAAACGGCCAUUGAUACUGUUAGACUUGAAUUACUAGGAAGUAACUAGAAUAUGUAGUGUAGCGGUGAAAUGCUUAGAUAUUACAUGGAAUACCAAUUGCGAAGGCAGGUUACUACUAGUGGAUUGACGCUGAUGGACGAAAGCGUGGGGAGCGAACAGGAUUAGAUACCCUGGUAGUCCACGCCGUAAACGAUGGAUACUAGCUGUUGGGCGCAAGUUCAGUGGCUAAGCGAAAGUGAUAAGUAUCCCACCUGGGGAGUACGUUCGCAAGAUGAAACUCAAAUGAAUUGACGG
This 575-nucleotide ribosomal RNA is filed under the name uncultured bacterium. RNAcentral describes it as "bacterial SSU rRNA". It matches the Rfam family "Bacterial small subunit ribosomal RNA", at positions 338 to 916 of the family's 1533-position model. The record is from RNAcentral.